GACGAACCGUACGAACGUUAUUCGGAAUUACUGGGCUUAAAGGGUGCGUAGGCUGUGCAGAAAGUUGGGUGUGAAAUCCCCCGGCUCAACCGGGGAACUGCGCUCAAAACUACUGUGCUAGAGGGAGACAGAGGUAAGCGGAACUCAGGGUGGAGCGGUGAAAUGCGUUGAUAUCCUGAGGAACACCGGUGGCGAAGGCGGCUUACUGGGUCUCUUCUGACGCUGAGGCACGAAAGCUAGGGUAGCGAACGGG
RNAcentral lists this ribosomal RNA (253 nucleotides) under uncultured prokaryote. Its description in RNAcentral is "partial 16S ribosomal RNA". It matches the Rfam family "Bacterial small subunit ribosomal RNA", at positions 524 to 776 of the family's 1533-position model. The record is from RNAcentral.